UACAGAGGUCUCAAGCGUUGUUCGGAUUCAUUGGGCGUAAAGGGCGCGUAGGCGGCGGGGUAAGUCGGGUGUGAAAUCUCAGAGCUCAACCCUGAAACUGCACUCGAUACUGCUCUGCUUGAGGACUGGAGAGGAGACUGGAAUUCACGGUGUAGCAGUGAAAUGCGUAGAUAUCGUGAGGAAGACCAGUGGCGAAGGCGGGUCUCUGGACAGUUCCUGACGCUGAGGCGCGAAGGCCAGGGGAGCAAACGGG
This 253-nucleotide ribosomal RNA is filed under the name uncultured bacterium. RNAcentral's name for it is "partial 16S ribosomal RNA". It matches the Rfam family "Bacterial small subunit ribosomal RNA", at positions 524 to 776 of the family's 1533-position model. The record is from RNAcentral.